Molecule: long non-coding RNA, 862 nt
Filed under: Hordeum vulgare
Lineage: Eukaryota; Viridiplantae; Streptophyta; Magnoliopsida; Poales; Poaceae
Description: long non-coding RNA (HVUL_LNC010103)
Source: RNAcentral
GAUAAUAAACGAUUAUAUCGAUACAAGAAUUAUAAUAAUAACUAUAUUUAUUAUUGCCUCUAGGGCAUAAUUCCAACACAUGCUCCCCCUGUCCAAAGGUGGUCGUCGUCUGCAAAGUUGUUGUGAGCGCUGCAGGGACGGGUCCAGGGAUGAUGUAUGUCCUGCUGGCGUGCGGCGAUGGCCUUGUUGCACCAGAAUGGAAACCUUUGGAAGAUGACUCGGGAACCCGCGUACGUCCUUCCCGCAUUUGCUCGAAAAGGGGAACUGCACCUUCCUGCAAUCCGCUGAUCGUCUGUCCUAUUGCCGUGUCAUCCUUGACCCUGAGGCCGGGUCUUGCCUCGGAAUCUCCACCGCUCCGGAGUGAUCCUGAUGUCACGCCCAAGAUGCGACCCUAUCCUAAAUUUGGCACGAGGGCCUCGUUAGGGAUAGAAGCGCAUCUCGUCGUGUCACAAUAAUAGAUAUAGUUACAAGUACAUGUACUCAAAAGAUGACUAUAAGGAGUUGGCUAUACUCACCACAAGCUACAUGAGAGUUACAGCAGUACAAUACAUAAUCAUCAUGAAGAAGAGCAGGGUCCGACUACGGACGAAAGCAAACGAGAAAAGAAGAACGACGUCCAUCCUAGCUAUCCCAGGCUGCCGGCCUGGAACCCAUCCUAGAUCGAUGAAGAAGAAGAAGAAGCAACUCCAAAUGAACAAUCAACGCGCUCGCGUCAAGUAACCUUUACCUGUACAAGAAAUAAGAGAGGGGAAGAUCUACGCAUAGUGGACGUGACUACUGAUGAUCAAAUGAAUGAUCCUGAACACCUACCUACGUCAGACAUAACCCCACCGUGUCCUCGAUCGGAGAAGGAACUCACGAA